RNAcentral lists this unclassified non-coding RNA (260 nucleotides) under Hevea brasiliensis (rubber tree). The record is from RNAcentral. Lineage: Eukaryota; Viridiplantae; Streptophyta; Magnoliopsida; Malpighiales; Euphorbiaceae.
GCCUCCUUUUUCUAUUGGCUAAUUAUUUCAUACAUGGGAAGCGAUAUAAAAAUUCAGUUUUACUGUACCAAAUUGAAGUAAGCAAUUUGAUGAACAGUAUUAAACGAUAUUCUACAUCCAAAUUAGUACAUUAUUUUCCAAGCAUUCUUCUCUUAUAUUAUGCAUCAGCAGGCCAGUAAGCUCCCACAACAAGGAAGUGUGAAUUCACAGGUAUUUCUUUCCAAUCGCAUGGAGGUAAGAACAAAGCUCUUGUGGUUUGG